CUUUGGCUCCGUUGGCCCCUUUGGCUCCGUUGGCUCCUUUGGCUCCUUUGGCUCCUUUGGCUCCUUUGGCCCCUUUGGCUCCGUUGGCUCCGUCGGCUCCUUUGGCCCCUUUGGCUCCGUUGGCUCCUUUAGCUCCUUUGGCUUCGUUGGCUUCUUUGGCUCCGUUGGCUCCGUUGGCUCCUUUGGCCCCUUUGGCUCCGUUGGCUCCGUUGGCUCCUUUGGCUCCGUUGGCUCCGUUGGCUCCUUUGGCCCCUUUGGCUCAAUUGGCUCCUUUGGCUCCUAACCGCUGAGAAGGAACCCGCCCAGCAGCUUCCAGCCUGCCGAUUGCUGCAGCCACUCCCGCCGGGCCCAAACUAAUCAAUGAUCCCAUCAUUCUCUAAUAAAAUCACUUCUAAGAACUGUCUUCAAAUGUUGAGGUCAUGCCACUCUCACCCCCCACCCCCUUUUUUUACGACCCCUCUUUGUGGAACCAUCCCGUCAGAAAGACAUCUUUAAUUUGUUUGGAUCCAGCUGAAAGGGAGAGACGUCUCUAUUUAAAUGCACGCUUAUUUUUCCAGGUGCUUGUACUUUGGAGCACGGUGAGCCGCAGCCUCGGAGGUUUCCACUCAGGGAAGCCGCAGCUCGCUCGAGAGCAAAGACUUCUGGGAGGGCAGCGAGCGCGUCCGCGGGGACUCGGCGAGAGAUGGCAGGUAGCGAUGCAUCAAUUAAUCAUGAUACGGUCCGUCGAUGCUGCAGAAUGUGGCAUUCACAGCAUUCACGUAGUCCUGAUUUAACACUGCUGAGGCCGUUCACGCGUACUUUCCUUCUUUAAGAUGGGUGUGACACAACCGCCCUUCUUGCUCCUCCUUCUACUACAACUUUUACAGGAUGCACUGAUCUGCAACGACAGAUUAGCUGCUGCACGGACGAAAAGCUGCAAUCAGACAAUUCAAUUACAGAGGAUGAUGAGGACAAUGAUGCUCCAUGCUGUACAUGGAAGCUAAGCAGAUAAGCUUAUUACCAAGGGUAGGAAUGCUGAAGUAGCGCCUAUGCUAAGCUAGCAUUAUUUUCACCCCAUCUGCUCAGUCAGGUUUUUAAACUCAUCACAGAAGAAAUGUGCUUUUCAAAAAGCUACCAGUUGUUUGUAAUGUAAUAUUUCGACAGACACGUGGCAUCUGGCUGCAGGACGUGUAUACGGCAUAAGUAUGAUUUUUAUAUCAUAUUUCUUUCAUGUGGUCAAAAAAGAUGCUGGAAAUACAACUCUUCUGAGAAAAGAAAGAUCAGCCUACAAAAUGAUUACAAUAUAAGGACAUGGAAAACAACAAUUAAACUGCAUAUCAUUAACAAAUUAAUUGUUGUCAGCUAAAGAUCAACUCAUCGCGAGCUUCUGUGGAGCCGAGAGCUUCUGUACGUUUCUGUCGGUUCAUCAUUGUGAGAGGAGCCAUGUGACAUUUUCACCCUGUGUGCAAAACCCGAACCUAAUGAACAAAUAGAACCAAUCAUUUAAAAAUGAAUACUAGUCAAAUGACCAACUAGAAGUGCAAUAUUCAAAAUAAGAGACUCCAGCUCUACUUUGUGCCUCUCAUUACUUCGUCUGUGUUCCUGCUGUUCAAAGCGACUCUCCACUCACAAGAAGACCUUCGUCCCCCGUUACCUUCAUGGACCAUGGAUCACCUGAGCGAGGGAAGUGAACAGCAGAGGACCUGAUAAGGAAGGAAAGGACAGAAACGAAGGGCAGAGAGAGCGACAGCAUGUUUGUACAGCUGAACACAAGCUGAAGAAGCCCAGGCCUUCUCUCACACUCCAUUAGGCCCGAAGCUGCACGGAGUGCUGCACUCAACACAUAAACAGCCUGCGUGAGGAGCCAUGUACGGGAGAGGCCGGGGGGGCGCCAGGCUGGCCGGCAAGAAACAACAAAUGCCUUUUCACAUCAGUGCAAUGCCCCCGAAUUACAGAGAGAAACAAGCGAUGGAGGCAGAGAGGCCUGGAAGAGCAACAGGCCUCAUUCGCCAAAGUUUGAUCCACCGCUUCCAGAAGAGACCUGAAGCCCUCGAGCUGCUUAAAGGAUGAGGAAGCCAUGAGGAGGCCAUGGGGAAGCCAUGAGGAAGCCGUGAGGAAGCCAAUGAGGAAGAAGCCAUGAGGAAGCCAUGGGCAAGCCAUGGGGAAGCCAUGAGGAAGCCAUGGGGAAGCCAUGGGGAAGCCAUGGGGAAGCCAUGAGGAAGCCAUGAGGAUGCCAUGUGGAAGAAGCCAUGAGGAAGAAGACAUGAGCAAGCCAUGGGGAAGCCAUGAGGAAGCCAUGAGGAAGAAGCCAUAAGGAAGCCAUGGGGAAGCCAUGAGGAAGCUAUGAGGAAGCCAUGAGGAAGCCAUGAGGAAGCCAUGGGGAAGCCAUGAGGAAGCCAUGAGGAAGCCAUGGGGAACCCAUGGGGAAGCCAUGAGGAAGAAGCCAUUAGGAAGCCAUGUGGAAGCCAUGAGGAAGCCAUGAGGAAGAAGCCAUGAGGAAGCCAUGAGGUACGACGCGCUGCAGCGGUACACAAACCGGGGGCCUUGUGGUUGCGGGUCGCCUCCUUAGCCCCGAGCUAACGACGCAAACACCACCCGUAGAA
Molecule: long non-coding RNA, 2582 nt
Organism: Gasterosteus aculeatus aculeatus (three-spined stickleback)
Lineage: Eukaryota; Metazoa; Chordata; Actinopteri; Perciformes; Gasterosteidae
Source: Ensembl